UUCUCUGUGACUUGUGACUUGCCUCCCAUCGAAUACAACCCCGAUGUACGUGGCUUCCAACCAUUCAACGACAACUUUCGUCUCUGUUUCUACAACACAACCCCAAACGCUUACACACUCUCUCUCAGAAUCGGAAACAGAGCUCAAGAGUCAACUCUCCGGUGGGUCUGGGAAGCAAACAGAGGCUCAUCGGUCAAAGAAAACCCGACGUUGACUUUGGGUGAAGACGGAGCACUGAAUUAGGAAGUCUCCUUGCCUCCUUUCAUCUUGUGUCUUCUACUUCUUCUUCUUCACUCUCUCCACCUCGUGUCUUCCUUGUAUCAAGGUUUCACGAACAUAUGCUUUAUCAUAUGCACCUGUUUUACAUCAGUUUACUUAGUGUGAAGUGUAAACUUUAUUUUUUAAUUAUGCUGUGACUUGUGAUUUAUAAACUUUGAAUUUUUAUUUGAAGCAAAACAAUGUAAGGUUCUGGAUUCAUAUUUUAUUUGACAGGUA
This is a long non-coding RNA of Brassica oleracea var. oleracea, 495 nucleotides long. RefSeq lists it as uncharacterized. The transcript has 2 exons. The record is from RefSeq and is a predicted model, not a curated record. Lineage: Eukaryota; Viridiplantae; Streptophyta; Magnoliopsida; Brassicales; Brassicaceae.